RNAcentral lists this ribosomal RNA (462 nucleotides) under uncultured bacterium. RNAcentral's name for it is "partial 16S ribosomal RNA". It matches the Rfam family "Bacterial small subunit ribosomal RNA", at positions 28 to 507 of the family's 1533-position model. The record is from RNAcentral.
GACGAACGCUGGCGGCGUGCUUAACACAUGCAAGUCGAACGGUAAGGCCUUUCGGGGUACCCGAGUGGCGAACGGGUGAGUAACACGUGGGUGAUCUGCCCUGCACUUCGGGAUAAGCCCGGGAAACUGGGUCUAAUACCGGAUAGGACUGCGCGGUGCAUGCCGUGUGGUGGAAAGAUUUAUCGGUGCAGGAUGGGCCCGCGGCCUAUCAGCUUGUUGGUGGGGUAAUGGCCUACCAAGGCGACGACGGGUAGCCGGCCUGAGAGGGCGACCGGCCACACUGGGACUGAGACACGGCCCAGACUCCUACGGGAGGCAGCAGGGGGGAAUAUUGCACAAUGGGCGCAAGCCUGAUGCAGCGACGCCGCGUGAGGGAUGACGGCCUUCGGGUUGUAAACCUCUUUCAGCAGGGACGAAGCGUGAGUGACGGUACCUGCAGAAGAAGCACCGGCCAACUACGUG